UACGAAGGGGGCUAGCGUUGCUCGGAAUUACUGGGCGUAAAGCGCACGUAGGCGGACUUUUAAGUCGGGGGUGAAAUCCUGGAGCUCAACUCCAGAACUGCCUUCGAAACUGAAAGUCUUGAGUUCGGGAGAGGUGAGUGGAACUGCGAGUGUAGAGGUGAAAUUCGUAGAUAUUCGCAAGAACACCAGUGGCGAAGGCGGCUCACUGGCCCGAUACUGACGCUGAGGUGCGAAAGCGUGGGGAGCAAACAGG
RNAcentral lists this ribosomal RNA (253 nucleotides) under uncultured bacterium. Its description in RNAcentral is "partial 16S ribosomal RNA". It matches the Rfam family "Bacterial small subunit ribosomal RNA", at positions 524 to 776 of the family's 1533-position model. The record is from RNAcentral.